GACGAACGCUGGCGGCGUGCCUAACACAUGCAAGUCGAGCGGGGUUGAGGCGAGAGGUAACUCGAACUUCUACCUAGCGGCGGACGGGUGAGUAACGCGUGGGCAACCUGCCUCAAGGUUUGGGAUAACAGCCCGAAAGGGCUGCUAAUACCGGAUAUGCCUAUGGCCUCGCAUGGGGCUAUGAGCAAAGGGGAAACCCGCCUUGAGAUGGGCCCGCGUCCCAUCAGCUAGUUGGUGAGGUAACAGCUCACCAAGGCGACGACGGGUAGCCGGCCUGAGAGGGUGACCGGCCACACUGGGACUGAGACACGGCCCAGACUCCUACGGGGGGCAGCAGUGGGGGAUCUUGCACAAUGGGCGAAAGCCUGAUGCAGCGACGCCGCGUGAGCGAAGAAGGCCUCGGUUGUAAGCUCUGUCUGAGGGACGAACGAAAAUGACGGUACCGUCCGGACGGAAGCCACGGCUAACUACGUGCCAGCAGCCGCGGUAACUAGUAGUCGU
RNAcentral lists this ribosomal RNA (501 nucleotides) under uncultured bacterium. RNAcentral's name for it is "bacterial SSU rRNA". It matches the Rfam family "Bacterial small subunit ribosomal RNA", at positions 28 to 532 of the family's 1533-position model. The record is from RNAcentral.